UCCAUUAAAGUAUAAAAUAUGAAAGUGAAAGGUUUUUGUAGGCUUUAGACCAUUGUAGAGCCAUAACAACAUUAGAAAUGUUCAAAAAUAAAAUGCAAACUUUUGCAUAGUCAUAAAGUUCAUUACAUAACCUUAAAGUGCAAAGUCAUAAUACCAAAAAAAUAUCAAAAGAGCUUGCAGACUAAUGUAUCAUAACCAAAAGAACCAUCUUAGUCUAGCACCCUGUGUGAACCAUAAUACCAACAAAAGAUAAAGACACACAAUAACCAACUUAGUCUGACCUUUCUAAGGUACCAAAACAAACAACACAAAAGACCUUUCUAAGGUUCCAUAACAAACAACACAAAAGACAACAAAUCAAACUUUUUCCUUCAUUUUGGAUUUAUCCUUAAGUUUGGUUUUCUCCUUCAUUUUGGGUUUCUCCUUUUUUCCAUCUCCCUGCUUCUUUGCCUUGCUAAGCUUCUUGCCCCCUGCCACCACAUUUCUAACUUCAGUUUGUCCCCCUUGUCCCUUGCAACUCCUAGAGUUGUGACCCUUGUUAUUGCAUUUGCUACAAGUAACUGUAAGGAACUUCUUGGUCAAACUUUUACCUUGAUUAUUUGGUUCUUCAGUUUGAGCUCUCUUUCUCUUCUUUUUUGGUCUCCCCACCUGCAUAAUUAAUAAAUUAUAAAACAGUAUAAACGUAUACUAACUUGUAAAUUGAAAAUUAUUUACCUGUUUAGUAUGCUUAGGAGGUGUUAGUGUUAUGGGGAAAUCUGACUUUGGCCACAUACUUCUUCCAUUGAUAGGUUGAACUUUGUACUUGUACAUUUCAUUCCAUGUGCUUAACCUAUAACAUGGAUGUACCCACUCCUCAAGAGGUGGGACAUUUUUUCCCAGUGCCUGCAACUACAAUUCCUGUCCCUCCAAUUAACCACAAAUUGUUCCCCCAUUGUCCCAGUAACUUGAGUCUUAUCAGCACCAUUAAAUAUGCAAGUGUAUUGAGAAGCAUCUUUCUUAACUCCAUCUAAAAGUUUUGUGGCUGGGGGGGGGAGAGGGGCNUUAUCUAUCACAUUUUGCACAAUACAAAUUCGUUUCAUUAAGUAUUCCCUAAUAUAUUCUAAACAUGUAAUUAUAGGUUUGUCUCGAGCAUCUAACAACUUUGAGAUGAAAACUUCACAUAAAUUAUUCAACAAAAUAUCUGUAUGUGCUCUUCCUGUACAAUGCAACAAAAUAUCUUAUAAGAAUCUGUCAAAGUGUAAAUCUUCCUUGAAUCUGUCAAAGUGUCUAACUGUUGUUGCUGUUGCACAUUCCCAUAAAUGAUCUCUGUGCUCCUUCCCCCUCCAUUGUAGCUUCAUGUUUUCGUGAAUAUGUCUUAAACAGAACCUGUGUUCAGCGCUAGGUAAUAGGUUGGCAAUGGCAGAUAAAAUCCCCUAAUUAACAAGUAACAAAAAUGUUAUUUUCUAAAUGUAGUAGACAAAAUUACAAAGAUGUCAUGAACAAGUAUCAUAAGAAGAUUAACCUUUUGCCUGUCAGAAAUAAAUGUGAAGUUUGAAUUUGUAGAGAGCUCCAAAUCUUCACCUAGACACUCUAGAAACCAACUCCAUGAGCUUUUGUUCUCGGCUUCAACUAUGGCAUAUGCUAGUGGGUAGAUCCGAUUAUUGGAAUCAAGACCCACAACAGUGAGAACCUAUCCAGUGUAAGGUCCCUUCAUGAAAGCCCCAUCGAAACCUAAAAAAUCUCUUAAACCUGCCUUAAAACCCAGUUUUAAUGCACCUAAACAGACAUAAAUUCUCUUAAACAUCCUAGUUUCCAAGUCUGCAUUUGGUUCACUGUAUACAUCAAUCUUCACAAUUGUUCCUGGGUUGCACUGUUGUAAUUCUAAUACGUAAUCCCUGAGAAGGCUGUAUUGCUUUUGAUAAUCUCCAUAAACAUGUUUCUGUGCAAGUUGUUUAGCCCUAAAGACCUUCAUUCUUGACAUCCCCACCUCGUAUAUCUUUUGUAACUCUACACACAAAGCUUUGACUGGGAUAGUUGGGUUUCCUUCCACUUCUUGAAGAAUGAUGGUUGUAAGAAACUUAGGCCUCAUUUGAUAGUUGCCGAUUGAGAAAGUGCUGACUGAGAAAGGUCUGUCUGGGUAAGAAAUCCUGAUUGGGUAAGAAAUCCUGUUGUUUGAUUGUACAUCUGACUGAAUGUGCUGAGUGAUGAAAAAUGACCAUUUUACCCUGCUGUUAUAUAUAUAUAUUGAUGGAUUAAAUUGCUGAAUAAUUAUAAAAACAUACAUAUUGUCAUACAAAAUGUAAAUUACACACAAAUAAAAAAUGUCAUACAAAAUGUAAAUUAAACAUAAAUCAUUUAAUAUCCAAAUAAAAACAUAAUGAAAUUUAAAAUAACAUAAUAAUUUAAUGUAAAGUAGGUGAAAGUAGUCGAUUUGCAAUCUGAUCACGCAAAACACGCAUAUAUUCAACGGCUUCUGGACCCCAUUCUAUGCCUUGUAUGUUUUCUCUAUCAAUUCCCCCACCUUGGACGUCAGGAGUAACCAUAGUGUCCUCCUCAAAAUUUCUAAACAAGUCAUCUUCUAUAUUGUAUUUCCUUAUAAAAUUAUGGACCGCGACACAAGCAAUGACUAUGUCUCUUUGCACUGUAAAAGGAUAAGGAGCCAUUUGUUUUAAGAUUGGGAAUCUCGCCUUCAAUACACCAUAAGCACGCUCAAUAACAUUUCUAAGUUGUGCAUGAGCAUGAUUGAACCUUUCUUCUCUAGUUAAAGGUCUGCCUCUUCGAAAAUCGGCUAACCAAUACCUAGUAUUGCGGUAUGGAGCCAUAAACCCACGAGUGUUUGUAUAUGCGGCAUCACAAAGGUAAUAUUUAUCUGCAAACGAAUGUGACAUAUUAUAUAAUGACACAUAUUAUAUAAAGAAGAUAGAUAAUAAAAAUUAUAUAAAGAUUACAAACCUGGUGGAGGAAAUGGAAAUCCAGAAGUCGAAUUGAAUGCAACUUCUUUCAAAACUCUUGAAUCAUGUGCUAUACCCUCCCAUCCAGCCCAAACAAAGGUGAAUAUCAUAUCAAAAUCACAAAUUCCUAUUACAUUUUGAAAACAUUCUCCUUUUCCUCUUCCUCAAUAACGAGUUUGUUGAUCAACAGGUACAACCGCACGUACAAGAGUUCCAUCUAAUGCACCAAUUGCUCCGGAAAAAAUAUUUUUUAACCGUCUAUGUCGUUCUGAGUUAUGUCUUGUUGGGUUAGGAGUUGUUGGUACUAUAAUUUCUUUUGCAAAACACAUCAUUGCUGUUAGGACCUCGUGAAAACAUUGAUGAAUCGUUUGUGUGGAGUGAUGAAAUCUUCCCUUAACCGCGCGAAAACGUUCAUUAUGUCCUAUAACAUGUAAGAAGAUAGCCAUCUUCUCUUCAAUGCUUAUUGUCCUACUAGCUUGCAACCAAUUUUUUUGGGUAAAAUGGUUGCAUAGUAAUGCAAAUGCCUCUUGUGUAAGACGCAUCAUAUCGAAACAUUGUGUAGGGUCUCCGUAUAUCAAAUCUUAUGUAUACGCAUACCCGCUUGAAUCGUUAUCUCUAAUUCUAAGAAUUCUGAUUAGUCUGCGCCGGUUUGACCUCAACCAAUAAAACACAAGUAAAAGAAAAGCUACAACUUCACCAUCAGAAACCAUACUUGAUCUAUUACAAACAAUUAGGUAAUAUGUUAAAGUAAAAAAAAAAUCAUGCACCAAAAAAAUUAGUAAACAUCAUUAAAAGUAACAAAAGUCGUAUAACAAACGUUGUAUAACAAAAUACUAGUAAACAUCAUCCAAAAAAGUCAUCAAACUAUAUAACAGUAAACCAAAAAGUCAUCAAACAUAGGAUCCAAAAAACUAGUAAACAUCAUCCAAAAAAAGUCAUCAAACAUAGGAUCCAAAAAACUAGUAAACAUCAUAAAAAAAACUAGUAUCCAAACUUUUCUACCCGCACCUAUCAAAGGUAACUAUACUUCCUACCCGCACCCAUCACCCACGACUCACAACUACUAUGCGAAAGUCGUAACCAAACUUUUCGAACAUCAGCACUUUCACCAAAUAGCAAAAGAGCGGUCUUGUGUCUUUCAUCUUCUUCUCCCCAUUCCAUUUUGUUCAAUUUCUCCAUACACGCAUCAACAUCCUUAUCCAUUUCACUUUUUUCAAUUCUUUCAUUUUUUUUCCACUAAUAACCUUACAAUCUUGACAAUCUCCUCUUCAACUUCUAAUGCCCUUGCAUCUCUUUUUUUUCCACCAACUCUUUUGUUUCCACCAACUUCCUUAUUUUUGAACGCCCCGAAGAUUCUUCACUUGCACCUACGUGUUGUGUUGAGGUUUCCAUUAGAACAUCAUCAUCAAAAUCAUGGGGACUAAACUCUUCUACAGGACAAGGGAGUGUAGAAGAUGGCCCCCAACUUUGAGAUCCGGUUGAUGUCAACCCUUCAAAUAGUUGGGUGCAAAGAUCAGGGAACAAUAGGGGUUUAGUUUUCAAUGACAACACGAACUUGUUCAACUGUUUACAAUUUUUAUAAAUAUUAGUAUAUGUUAUAAAAAUAAUCAUAAUAGUAUUGAUUAAAAAAAUAAAUUUAAUCAAAUAGUAUAUGUUAUAAAAAUAAUCAUAAUAGUAUUGAUUAAAAAAAUAUUACCUUCCCCUCUUCUUUCCAUUGUUCAUCGGUCAAAUUAAAUUUAUUUUUUAUAGGAUCAUAUAUAUUGCCGGUUUUGUUUUUGAGUUUCACCCAAGCAACAUACUUUGAUUUGUAGUAGUCAAAGUGGUUUCUCAUUUGCUUCUGAUCAACCUCUUUACCGUGUUCGUUUAUCAAUUUUUCGCGUAUUGUCUUCCAUGAACUUGCCUUAAGCCCAGAACCCUCACGACCAUUAGUGGUUAGUUCAUGGAUACAUGCAUCAAGAAAAGUUUUGUCCUCACUCUCGUUCCAAACCAACAUCCUAAAACAUUAAUAUUUAAAGUAAUUUAUCAUAGUUUUUAUCAAGUUAAAGAACAAUUUUAAACAUAAAGCAAUUUUCAACCAAGGAAGUUAACAUCAUCCUAAAUUAUGAUUUGAUAACUUAUACACAAACAAUUUCAGAUGUCACAAAACAUCAAUAUUCAAGCUAACAAUUUCACAAAAGAUAACAAGCUAACAAUUAAGGUCAACAAUAUCAAAGCUAUAAAAUUAGAAAGAAAAAAAAAACAGCCCAAUUUUUGAUUUUAUAGCUUAUACUUUUGAUACUAAUACAAGCUCAAUAAUUGGAAGACAUGUGAUGUUGCAUGCAUUCCCCCUCUCGCCCACUCUUCAAGGAACAAUUGGAUUAUUAAAAAAGUUAGGUUACCAUUAAUCUUAUAAUAAUUAUUUAUUAUUAAUUUUACUUUUGUACUUUACACAUAAAAACACAACNAAAACCAAAAAAAUAAAAAAAAAAAAAAAAAAAAAAAAACAGCCCAAUUUUUGAUUUACAAACCUACUUGUAUUUUCCAAUUCACAUUCAAUUUCAAUUCACAAGCUAUAAAAUCAAAAUUCAAAAAAAAAACCUUCCAAUUCACUUUCAAUUUCAAUUCAUAAGCUAUAAAAUAUGAACCGGAGAAAAAAACUUCCAAUGUGAAUUGGAGAAAAAAACUUCAAAUUCAGAAAAAAAAACAAAAAAACAAAAACAAAAAACAACUACCAAUUCACAUUCUAUUUUAGAAUUCAUAACAUUAGAAAAAAAAACCUUCAAUUUUCAGUUCUUAUACACAAAGAACUACAAAACAAAACAUAAACAAACUUCCAAUUCACAUAUAAUUUCGAAAUUCAUAUAUUAGAACAAACAAUUUCAGAUUUCAGUUCUUGUACACAAAGAACUACAAAAAAGAACAAAAAAAGCUUAUCAUAUGAACAUACAGGUUGAGAAUUCAUAAUAUUCUAACAUAUACUAAUUUGAUUUCAUAAAGAACUACAAAUUUCAUACCAUCAAAGCAUAAAUGGUAUCUGAUUUUGAAAAUUAUUAACAGAAAAAUUAUCUAACCUGUGUGAUGGAUCGAGAAGGCGUCACUGAUGGCGGUGGCGGAGGUCCGACGAGAUGGCACAGGUCCGACUGGUCGGACUGUUUGGCGUUCAAUGUUGUGGAGUUCUUCCUAGCGGCUGCUGUGCUUUUAGGUCACUAGAAGGGAAGCGAAUGGGGAAAGAAAUAAUAACGACGCAGGGGCAAGAUAAGGGCAAGAUUGUCUAAUUUCCAGUCAGCAACUGUUUAAAAACUGAUCCAGAAAGCGAUUUGGGUCAGCAGAUCUUACCGAGAAAGCUCAAAUCAAACACCAAAGGUCUGACCGAGUCAGCCCAAUUUGCUGACUCGACCCAGUCAGACAUUUAUCAAACACUCCCUUAGAAGUGCACUCUUUAAUAGACCUUGACUGCACACAUCUAUGCUCAUGAACCAAAGUUUUCACCAUCCAAUCGCUUUCUUCAUCAGAUCUAGAAAUUAAUACCACCCAAGGGCAUGUUGCUUUUUGUGAGCUGACUGUUUUAUCCUUGCAUUUGAUUCUACUUUUUGUCCAUGGCCCACCUGUCAUUUUCGGGACCACACCCCUGCAUUUUGCCCUAAUUCUUUUUUUUUUAUCAUUUUUUGAAAAGUAAAUGUUUCUCCUAGUUCGAAUUGAAUGCAUUUUAAUGUAGUCCUUCACUUCUGAUGAGGACUUAAAUAUUUGACCCAGAUGGAAUGCAGUUUCAUGUACUACUCCUGAUGAACAUGUGGUUGGUUUGUUUAACCUUCUCAUUAAUUUCUUCCUCUCAUCUUCUUCUACACCAGUUGAUUCAAAUAAUUGUGUAUCUAUCACCUCCAAAUCCUCAUCAACUGUGACAUCAGGUGCAUUGAAUGAUUGGUGGUUAUCUAGAUUUGGAAAAGAAUAAACACCACUGUGGAAGUCUUUCAUAUUCACUUCGACAUCCUCCACCAUAUUAAGUUCAUCCACUAAAAAGUCACUAUCGUCGCUUAUACUUCCAUCGGUACUAGUCUCAUCACUAAUAACAUCUCCAAUUUCUUCAUUUUCCCCCAUCUGUUGGUAAUCAUUAUGAUCCAUAUAAAAGAAAGGAUCAAAGUCUUCUGAAGGGACAACAUCUUGGGCUUUGUUAAGCUCCUCACUUGCAGGAUGAACUCGAACAUCUUUCACUACAUCUCUAUCAAAAUGUCCAAAAGGUACAACAGACCUAGAAAAGUCAUAGUUCUCAUUCAAGUCCAUUUUUCUACUACAUGAUCCUACCUUUGUACUUGUAAACUUUUUUCGAUUGAGUUCCGGAGAAAUAGGCUCAUUGAUUUCUUCCGAUACGACCUUAUUUGGAGAUAUAAAGUAUGCAUGGAGUCUAGUAGUUCCAUGUUCAGUAUACACCAUAAUCUCUUUAUGAUUAGCAACAUGCUUACUUAACAAAAGUACGUCUGAGUUGUUACCUAAAGGAAGUAACCCAUAAUCGAUUUCAAUCUCAGGAAUCAAGAAGUGGUAGUAGAUAGGCUCACCGUUGAUAUAACCUAUCUCCUUCAUCAUAUCGUCUAACUCAUGUACGGAAAACACGUCCAUGUCUACGUAGUCAACAUAGUCAAUACUCCCACCAACGUAACGUCUUCCUGGGUAUUUUGUGAACAUACCCCCAUGGUGAAUCUUGAAUGUGCAAAAACUACUUAACUCAACUGAAAAACAAAUAAAUAAUGAUAUGAGGAAAGAAUGAAGUCUCAAAAUUGAAUGUGCAUAAAUUACUUAACAAAAUUGAAAGUUGUUAACUGAUCACUCACCAUAAGCUUUGAUCAGGUCAGGAUUUUCUGAGAAUUUUGAACGGACAUUCCACAAAGUUAGAACGAUCGCAAAAGAUGAAAAUGAAAACCCUAGUUUCCGUUUGAUGUUUUGAAGUGAUGAAGAUGAAAAACCAGAGGAGAAAAGAAAGGGAUGAUUUCUUGGGGUAAUGUAAAUGGCAGCUAGAUGUAAGGAUCAUUUAUGAAUAUGAUCAUUUCGUGUAACAAAGCAAAAGACCAAAAUACCCUCGUGUGAGGGUCACGUGAUUUAGAUAAACGGAAACAAUUAAACGGAGUAUGUCAUAAGGACUAUUCGUGCAACAAUUUGGAACCAUAGGGACCAUACUCGUCCAAAAUUCCUCAUAAGGACUAUCUUUGGUCUCUUGUGCCAACCACAGGGACCAUCUGUGUAAUUUUGUCUUUUUUUAAAGAUAGUUCAUAAUUUUUCUAUUAUAUACAUUGUAAAUGAAAUUGAGAACUUAAGUAGGUCCUAGGACCUACCUAAGCACAUGGUGGAUACGCCCCUGUUACCCACACUAACCUCAUACACUUACAACACAAAUGAACUUGAACGGUCUAAGACCAAACCAAGAUAUAAUAUGAAAUGUGUAAGUAUAGUUUAAUAGAUGAAAGUGAGGUGUUGUUUGGGCUUGAAAAGUAGGGGUGAGCAUGGUGCGAUUUUUUGAGAAAACCGAACCGCAAACCGCAAGAUGCGGUUUCUAUAGGGUAAAACCGAUAGGUGUGGUUUUUGUUUCGGCGUGGUUUUACAUGCAUUUUCGGUGUCAUUCGAUGCGGUUUCGGUUUUUAACUGAAAAUAUGUGUUGGUGUGAUUUUUCAUACAUGUGUUGAUCUACCAAAGAAGUAAUAACCCCUAAAGAAGCUAGAGCAAGGCCUAAUUGAAAAUGAAGCCAAUUAUUAAUUGUGUCAUAAAGACCCUCAUGCCCACGUCUCAAUCGCCCUCUUGGAGGGAUAUGUGCAUCUAAAAGAUCUUUCAUACUGUGCCCAAUCCCAAAAUUAGUUCUAUACAUAUGCCCAACAAUAAGAAAAAGAAAUGCAAUAGCUAAAUAAUGAUGAGUCAUAUCAGCAUGUCCAAACCCGACUUUUCAGUUAACUUUCCUUUAUUUCCGGUACAGAUUCUCAUUUAAAUGUAUUUAACAUGCUUGUGAAAUAGUUAUAUGUUAUUCUUAUCAAAAUAUAGACUUCUUUAUGAUAUUACGAUUUUGAGAUUUGAAUUAUAUGUUUGAUGCAACAAGGGAUUUGGUUUUAUAAUCUCAAAUUCCAUUACUUAAUCAUUAUUGUUUAUACAGAUAGAGGCGGCUUUUGAUUCGAAUUGCAUUUUGCUUGUGAUAAGCAAAAGGAAAAUUGUUAAUGGUACGCACUUUGAUACAAAUGUCAAAUUUUAUAAAAAUAUAGCAAAACAUAAGGCAUGCACAGUGGCAAAAAGAACUGAAGAGGUCGAAGUUGAACAAAAUAUACUUUUAUUAAUAAGUAUUAUAAUAUAUUAAAUAUUGUCAGGUUUUUAUGGUGCUGUUUGGCAUUGUCCAAACCGCACCACACCGAAAAAUUACCAAUUAAGGUUGGAUUGGAAUGCAUAAUUAUCAAUUUAUCCUUAAUAAGUCAUAAAUCAACAAAAAUGGCCCAACAAUUUUCUUAAUCUUAAUUGUUGCCUUUGGAUUAGAAAUCAUCAACGAUCAAGAUUGGUUCUCACAAUUCUCUAAUCUCUACUUUUAUGUUGUUUUCAUUUGAACUCAACCCAAAAAUCUCACCAGUAAUCACCACACGAACAAAUCCCGUUCUUGAAAUGAUGAAACCUAUUUGUAUCCCGAAGAAUAAUUUCCCGCUCAACAAUCUUGGAAAUAAGCUUAGCAGCAAUAUGACAAUCCUCACAAACACGUAGAUUUUUAGUAAUCCGUAUAGGCGUAAAAGCUUUAGUAUUUAUAAUCACAAACACAAUAGCAAGCUUCUCACUAUGAACAGCAAGAUGAUUUCCUUUAUCUUCAUCUUCUAUAUCAUGAAGUGCAGAAUCCACUUCAGGAACAUACCCAAAAUCCCUCAUCUUCCCCACAAGUACUUCCAACUCUUGAUAAAUCUGUUUAGAUUGUGGAUGGGAUUGAUCUCCAGCAAGAAACGAAUGAACUUGAUUAUUAAGCUCAACAUUACUAACACCGGGCUCUUUUUUCACUCCUUUUGAUUUCAUUAUUGAACGAAUAUUUGUCACAUCUUUAAAUCUACCUGCUUUUGCGUAUAUAUUUGAUAAUAAAACAUAAUACCCUGCUUGUUCAGGGACCAAUUCAAAGAGAUGAUCUGCUGCUACAAGACCAAUUUCCAUGUUGGAAUGAACUUUACAAGCACUUAACAAAGCACCCCAGAUUCUAUCGUUUGGUUUUGUUUUCAUUUUCUUUAUAAAAUCAUAAGCUUCAUUGAUUCUUCCUGAUCUUCCUAGCAAAUCAACCAUGCACGCCAAGUGUUCGAGUCUUGGAAUGAUGUUAUACUCUUCGGUCAUCAAUUUGAAGAAAUGUUUUCCUUGGUUUAGUAAUCCGGCAUGGCUGCAGGCUGAUAGAACUGGAACGAAGGAAAUGGAAUCAGGGGCGAUUCCGGAAUUUUGCAUAUUUGAAAAGACUGUGAUAGCAGUUUCACCAUCUCCAGUCAUGCCAUAAGCAGAGACCAUGGAAGUCCAGGAGACGACAUCUCUUGUUGGCAUUUCAUCGAACACCUUGCGUGCUUCGUUUAAAGACCCACAUUUAGCAUACAUGUCAAUCAAGGCGUUCUCUACUGUUAGAUUAGGAAGAAGCCUUUUUGUUUUUACAUAUGAAUGAAUCUUUCUUCCUAGUAAUAAAGCUGAAAGAUCUCCACAAGCGGGUAGGAUGCUAGCAACUGUGAUUGAAUCCGGGUCGAUUCCGUAAUUCUCCAUUUGUUGAUAAAGAUUAACUGCAUCUUUAGGCAUCGAGUUGUUGACGUACACAGCUAUCAUGACAUUCCAAGAAAUUAAACUCUCUCGAGCGUGAUUCAUGAACAUUUCUUUCAUAAACAUCACGUUGGUAGAUGAAGUAGAAGUUGUUAAAGCAGGGGAAAGGCUGGCCAUGGUGCCUGCGUUGGGUUUUGAGGUAGAACAUUGCAUCAUUGUCUUACAAAUCUCCAAUGCAUCUUCAAACAUCCGGUUUUGGGCGUAGGCAGCAACCAUAGCAUUCCAGGAGACGAUAUCUCUACUAGGCAUUUCAUCAAACACCUGGCGUCCUUCCAGUAACCGGUUACAUUUUCCAUACAUUGUAAUCAAUCCAUUCCCUACAUAAAGAUUUGAAUGCAGACCCUUCUUGAGAACAGCAACAUGGGUUUGUAAUCCGACCCACAAAUUCUCAGACACGGAACAUGCUUUUAGAACUUGAGGAACUGUAAAAUGAUCAGGGUUAAUGUUGAACUUGAACAUGUUUCUGUACAUACGAAGUGCUUUUUCGUAGAAUUCAUUGUUUACGUAGCUUCUAAUCAUCACAUUGAAGAAGACUACAUCUUUUUGAGGAAAUUCAUCAAACAGUUGGCGGGUAACUGCGAUUUGGCGACAUUCAGAAUAAGCUUUCAUUAAUUUCAGAGCAAUAUGCGAUGCUGAGACGAGGUUUCCAUCAAUAAUUAACCUACAAUGUAUCUUUUUCAAUUGUUUGAUAUCUGGGCACUUGUCCAAGAUUUUGAUACACAAGUCUUCUGUGAUUAACAUGAUUGUUAAGGCGAGAUUUGAAUGAAUUUGAACUUAUAUUCCUUUCGCCAUGUUGUACCUGAGGGGCAAUCAAAUAGAAUGGACGAAGAUAACGAAGGUUUACUUGGUGGUGUUCACUUAAAAACAAGAAAUAUGAAGUUCUAAACGCUAUUUCUUGUUAAACAGAAAAUAUUUUGUCCAAUCUAAAAAUCCAAUUUUUGAGUAAGUUCAAGCUUAAGCUCAAAAAUAGUAAGCAAAACAUGUUUAAAAAAUAAAAGUUCGUUUGAAACUCUUUGGAUAGCUCGAGUAUAACAAUCAUCAUAAUUAUAGUCAAUAAAUCAGGCUCAAACAACCAAACUUGAUGUCCAGCCCUUGAUCAUCCAAUUGCCAACUGAAAUCAACUUAGUUUCCGGUUUUAGAAUCGCCCUAACAUUACAUAAGCACCAACUAGUUCCAAAAGUAGUUUUUAAUUCAAUGUCUCCCAUACCCGUGACUUCAAGGGUUUCCAUGUUACCCAACCUUACCAACUUAAGAUAAGUUCUUUACUUCAAUUACUAUAACAGAUCGAUGAGUCAUGUUCUAAUGACCUCUCGUCAUAUGAUGCAAUGCUUAGACUCGAGUCUUUUAAAGUCAAAUUCUAUAAUGAAAUAUACAUUCCUUCAAGUUUCUAAUGUGAUAUAAUCACAUUCUAGCAUGUAUCACUUCUAGCUACAAGCUUCUUACUUUAACAACAAUCACAAUACUUCUAUUGAUCGCUUUGAUUAUCUUUCAGUUCAAUCUUCUGGCUUAAGUCAGAUGCUACAUCGAUCUUGGUUCUCUGAACCACGUACAAUACUUAUCCUAGCUGUAAUCGAUUUGAUAUGACCACUAGGGUCGGAAUAACAAUCAUCUUCUUAGUCAUUACCGAAAUUAUGGUAAUGACACAUGAACAAAACAGAAUCAAUUACUAGCGUCUUGGUAACUCGUGACUUUCCCUGAUCCAAGUGCGAGUCGUGUGCUUCCAGUAGUAUAUGCCUCUACUACCUUUCACACCUACUCAUACUUGUCCCAAGUAUUGUCUUUCAGUUCUCCAAGUCACCAUAAAAGAAUUUCACAUAGUCAUUUAACACAUCGAAUAACAAAACUAAGGUUUAUAUUAUUUCUUGAAACGAUUACAUAGAUAUUCAAGUUCACCUUAUACCAUGCCUUUUAUAUUAGGCUACACCACAUGAUACUAUCUAUAUGGCUACUUUAUAUCUCGAUCUUCAGAUAUAUAUAGAUCCCUACUCCUAAUCCCUUGUAUCGUCACCUGCUUCAUCCAGGUUAGACUUCGAGAAUCUUCCUUUCUUAUCGAAUCUUGAGGAUCCCUCAAGCUUCUUCUUUUCUCAUGCCUUGUCUUAUUCCAGACCCUUUUUCCUAAAUUAGGUUUCCAUAUUCUUGGUUGCUCUAACGGUUGUCUUCAAAGUAGUUGCCAUUUUUACCAUUGCGCCAAAUUAUGCUGGCAAUCCGUUAGCAAAACUAUCUAUCUUGGAGAGUUCAGUAGCACCAAGUAGGGGAAUAACUUCAUCUGCUCGGUGAAUACGGUGACAUACUCAUCAACACUCAUCUUCCUUUUCUUCAAGUUCGAAACUCGUUGUUUAGGUCUAUCAGAUCUAUCUCUGAGCAGUAUUGCAUUUUCAACUGCUCCAUGAAUGCUUCCCACCUCAGGGCUUCUCCCCCAUGGCUUUGUAUCUGCCAAUAACUUCCACCAACUUAAAACUCUGGUCUUUAGUUGUCUGACUGUAAAGACGGUUUUCUGCUUGUUGCUGCAAUUGCAACUUUCAAAUGUCAUCUCUAUCUCGGAGAUCCAAUCCAUGAUCUCUACUGGCUUCGGGCUUCCAGAAAGACUUGGUGGUUUGGCACCUAAGAAGUUCUUAUACAUACGUUCAUCCUUAUCAAUCGCUUUUUUCGGGUCGUUCCUCCUUGCCACUCGGGGUUCAGCUUGACUCACUGUACGACUGUAAUUUCCCUCCUCCGACAAUUCUUCAUUCAGUUCGGGUUGCACGAUAGGCACAAUAGGUUCAUCCCUAUUAUCAAGAAACAUUUUUCUCAUCUCCUCCCUUUGUUCGGCCAUCAUAGCCCAAAUCAUUGCUUAGACUCUUGCCAUCGUGAUUGGCUCGGGUGCAGCUACUACCUCUGGUGCACAUUUAAUCACUCGUGGUUCAGGCUGUUAGUUUUCAUUAGCAUUUUCUAAUAUGUUGCGAGUUCUCACCAUUUCGAUCUAUACACUCUAGAGAUGUUCAGUGUACAGUGACGAGAAUUAAGAUAUGGAAAGCUUUAUUUACGACAGCCAUAUAAAUCUUCUUAUCACUCGUAAAAGUUAUAUACUAGUUCUAAUACCGUAAUUAAAUGUUUGGAAAUUUUGAGCAAAUGACGGUUCAUCAACAAUAGAGCGAAUCUCAUUUAGGAAUUCGUUGAUAGGUCGAUUUCCUUUAGGAUUUUUAGCAAGUUUGGAUUUUAAAGAGAUGAUUCUUGAGCAGGAGGUGCUGGCAUAGCUUGUGUUGAGAUGCUUUCAUGCUUCUUUUGUGGUAAAUACAGAGGUAAUGAUAGGUUGAAUGAAUUGCAUCUGAGCAUGAACCAAGAAUUGCAUCGAAUACUACAUGAUCUUGGCGAUAGCAAGUCGUGUAUUCAUGAUUAGGUUUGGAUUUGUCUUUGUCGAUAAUGAAUUUUGUGGUAGGAUCAGUCACCCAUGUGAUGUAAUCUUCCAGACCUAGUCCAAUAAAUGUGGACUGCACUUGUCGCCUCCAUACAUGGAAGUUGUUGGUGAGUAAUUUGGUAGGAAAGUGACUUGAGGCGGUGAUUUGUAUUUGGGAUGAUUGUGUCAUGGUGAUGUUGAUGAAAAGGAUUAGAGGAGAAAGGCAAGAUGAUCGAUUGACUCUUUAGAGUGUGUGUGCUCUGAUACGAUAUGAGAUUUGAGAAUCAAUGGGCUCGAAUGAAUAAUUUCAUUUACAAAGAUCGAUACAUAUAUAGAUGGUAACGAGAGUUAAAGAGCUAUACAUGGAAUUUACUAAGAAUAGAUUGCAAUUACAUACAAAUAGAAGAGAUUAUUGUAGAUUAGUCAUGAAGAUGUGUACGAUGUUAUAGUUAGAUUGCUUAUUUGCAAUCCAUGUUAGCUAAGUAUGUCAUGUUGAAUACAAAUUGUAUUAAAACAUUAAAGUUCCAACCAUUAUAUGUUGAAGAAGAAGCAAAUACGCCUUAGUCACACCCAUUCUAAAUGAUAUGGAUGUUAUGGUUGUCGUUUCUAUGCAACCAAAUCGUGAUUCCAAGUUGCAGUUGUCUUACCAAUAUAUCAUGUUAGGAAAAGAUGACAUAGCAUGAAAUAUUGUAUGUUACAACAAAAAGAUAUAUCUUAUAGAUGUCUUGCACAUGGGUUAUUCCUUUUUAAGCACUUAUAUAAAAAUAAUAUCACGUAUGUAUGAUAUCUAUUUUGAGAGAUUUUUAGCAAGCAACUCUUUGUCUAUUAUUGUUAUUGGAUAGAAAAAGUAUCAUCUUCGUUGGGAAGAUUUUACUAGGAUUAGAUUCAUAAUAGUUUGUCAAAGAUUUUACUAUUAUGUAUUUAUAAACCCAUGAAGUUUUCUAUUAAAUAAAUAAAUAAAUAACCAUUCACCAUUUAUAUCUUUUUGGAAUAGAGUUUGUUAAAUUCUAAUAUAAAUAAAAAGAGUAUUUAUUUAGAUUCACACAUUACAAAAUUACAAACUCCAAGCAUAAAUCCGAAACUUAUUUUUAAACUUCUUCAUUUAUAUUACAAGUUUUAUUCUUUUUUCCCAACCCACUUGGGGUUUCGAAACCCUAAAAAAGUUCUAUCCAUGGAAGUUCAUAUUUAUUUCUUAUCUUAAUGAAUUUAAGGUCUAAAUCAAUAAAUGGCAAUGUAGAAUUAACCGCAUAUAUUAAGUUAUUUUUGGAAGCUUUCCAACACAACACAGAAAGGAAAUGAUGAGAAUUUAUGGUACCAAAUAACAAAAUAAUCCCGGUUCCUAUAAAAAUUUAUUAAAGCUCUACUCAUGAUUUCAUAAUCUCCUCUAAUAUGAGGGUUACGUUAUUGUAAUAAUAACUAUGAUAAUGUAAAAGCCAUAACAUAAAUCGUCUUAAUUUAAGAAAUAAUAUAAAUCCCAAGAUAUUGUUUUUAAAAUAAAAAGGAAAAAAGUGGGAGUCCAUUAGAAGGAGCCAAGCUGAUUAUUUGAGCCAAGAGAGCACCGAUUUGUUAUCCUUCCACUGUUCGAAGCGAGAGGUUAUCGCAGCUCUGUGAAGCCAGCCUAACGCAUUGCCCUCUGCUCUAGGAACCAAGAAGCCCAAGCCUUCGCUCAAGCCACUUGAUCCAACUCCGAACUUGGAACGGGCAAACCAGAUUUUGCAACAGCUUUGACCCAACCAAACAAGGCUCGAUCUCAGUCCAUCCCACUUUAGAGCCCUCACUUGAGUCACAAGCUCGC
RNAcentral lists this long non-coding RNA (15862 nucleotides) under Lactuca sativa (garden lettuce). Its description in RNAcentral is "long non-coding RNA (LSAT_LNC000191)". The record is from RNAcentral. Lineage: Eukaryota; Viridiplantae; Streptophyta; Magnoliopsida; Asterales; Asteraceae.